This is a long non-coding RNA of Homo sapiens (human), 4168 nucleotides long. Ensembl annotates it as TSC22D1 antisense RNA 1. Its record names the gene TSC22D1-AS1. NCBI's taxonomy places the organism in Eukaryota, Metazoa, Chordata, Mammalia, Primates, Hominidae. The record is from Ensembl.
ACUGGCAGCCAUGGAGCCCGAGCAUUUUCCUCCCUCAGGGCAGGCGCCUCGACUCGGCACACGUCCUCGGGGAGGAAGGGGCCGGCACCCGAGCCUCUCCGGAGGGCGGCGGGACGUGCGCUAGGGCGGAGGGUGCGACCCUCUCUUAUCCUCUUCCUCCGCAGCCGGCUCUUCCUCACCCCGCUGCUCCCGCGACCGGGCGGGAGAGGGCCGCAGGCGGCGGCGGCUCCUUUCUCCGCGGCGUUGGUGGCCAGACGGGCUGGUGCAGCGACUGCAGCCGACGCCGUUCAAAGGAACGAGGUGGAUCCCAGCAAGAUGACUUCUACCCUACAAAGAGGUUGAGAAUCCUGUUUCAAAUGCUGGAUGGAUCCCUGUGAAUCUGUCACUUUAAGAAGGGAGACUGCCCAGUGAAAGCAGUGGAAAGAAAAAGAGCGUUAAAAGAAACUGCAAAGGAUAUUGAAAUAUUGAAAGGAUAUUGAAACUUGGGAGCCCUUAUUUAUGGGAUAAAGCUGUCAGGAAAUUAAACUAGAAUCAACAUUUGACAGCUUGCUUUGUUGUAAGAAUACGGUACACAGGCUGGGCACGGUGGCUCACACCUAUAAUCCCAGCACUUUGGGAGGCCAAGGCAGGCGGAUCACCUGAGGUCGGGAGUUCGAGACCAGCCUGACCAACAUGGAGAAAGCCCAUCUCUACUAAAAAUACAAGAUUAGCCGGGCUUGGUGGCACAUGCCUGUAAUCCCAGCUACUUGGGAGGCUGAGGGGUGUCCAGGCCAGGCGCGGUGGCUCAUGCCUGCAAUCCCAGCACUUUGGGAGGCCGAGGCAGGUGGAUCACCUGAGGUCAGGAGUUUGAGACCAGCCUGGUCAACAUGGGGAAACCCUAUCUCUACUAAAAAUACAAAAGCUUAGCCAGGCAUGAUGGCGGGAGCCUGUAAUCCCAGCUACUUGGGAGGCUAAGGCAGGAAAAUCACUUGAACCCGGGAGGCGGAAGUUGCAGGGAGCCGAUAUAGUGACAAUGCACUCCAGCCUGGGCUUCAGAGUGAGACUCUGUCAAAAAAACAAAAAACAAACAAACAAAACACCAGGGGCAUCCAAUCUUUUGGAUUCCCUGGACCACAUUGGAAGAAGAAUUGUCUUCACCCACACAUAAAAUACACUAAAUACUAACUAUAGCUGAUGAGCUAAAAAAAAAAAAAUCUCAUAAUGUUUUAAGAAAGUUUAUGAACUUGUGUUGGGCUGCGUUCAAAGCCAUCCUGGGCUGCACGUGGCCCACAGGCCACAGGUUGGACAAGCUUGUCUUAAGACAUUAGUGCCUUUUGAACAAUGGGCUUAAGAUGGUAGAACUUUCUAGAAUAGAGCUCCUCAUAGGGUUGUUCUACAACAUUUAAAUUAGAUUCUUCCUGAGGCAAACUGGUCACCUGAUCACCUUAAAGCAUCUCUGGGACUCUCAAUGCCCAAAAUUCUUGUGCUCUGAGUUCUGAAUUUCAUGUGGGUAUUUUAAGCAGCUGUGCCUUUAUAAUGAUAUAAAUGCCACACUCCUCACAAUGGCUAGCUUUUCAGCAUAGUAAAUGUCAUCUCUGGUUUUCUUUCUCAUAAAGAACAUUUCCACAUGAAAAUUGCCACCUUUGGGCUAUGCUUUUUGCUAAGUUCAGACCUUAUAUGUAAUAGGGGUAGGCUCUUACUUAUAUCAUCUAAUUUUUCAGGGCUCUAAAAAAAAUUCAUAAAACCUCCAUUGACUGGUAAUGACAGAUGAGUUCUAAGACCAAAUUCAGGUUAUGCAGGAAAAGGUGCUAUAGGGAAGGCGUUGAACUCUGCUAUAAUGCAAUUACACCAGGAAGAAAAAUCUGAACUGUUGACAGUCAUUUGUACCUUCCUGAGAAUGAAACUCCAAAAGCAGAGGGAAAGCAGGAGAGGAGAGAGAAUCAACAGGACACGCGCACCCUGUGAGGAAGAGUUAUGCGGUAAGGGGAGGUCAAAGACCUUCACUGUUGUGGCUAGCGAUGAAAAUAAAACAACAUGUUACCAGAACGGAAUUGUCCAAGAGUAUUCCAAGGUUGGAACUGAGAUCAUCGCAGGACAAUGACUGCCCAUUCUUCCUGGCCCCAGCACUUAUUGCAGCACUUGGAACAUAGUGACAGCUCAGCAAAUGUUGGCAUUUUUAAUGAAUAACUAUUUGUUGUGUGUGUGUGUGUGUUUUUUUUUUAGCAAUUAAGAAAAACCUCUUUACACUGACAAGAUAUAAUUCUCUGGGCCAAUAAUUUUAGGAACAGAGACAUUUGAAUCAAAGGUGUGAAGAAAUGAACACGUUUUUUGCUUUCCCUUCAUGAGAGCCUAGGUUCCAAACAUGCUUCCCUUGAUUGAACAAGCUGAACCAAUCCAGAUGGCCUGGGGGAUAGUAGGUGAAAAUAGUAGCAACCAGAGCUUGUUUUAGAGUAUUUUCUCAUUGCAUUUAACGUUCAAAAGAAAGCUCACAGUCACUUCCCUUACAGAACACCCCCAUCACACAACGACAUACACACGCAUACACAGGUCCGUGGAUGUCUCCCUUUAAUAAUAUUUUACAGCUAACAAAGAGAUUGUGUAUGCCAGGAAAUGGAGGCCCAGAGAGGUGAGGUGAAAUGCCUCUACAGUCCCAUCUAGAAUAUGACAAUAUUUCUUAAACACAAGCCCAGUGUUUUCCCCAAUGUACAAAUAAUAAAAUUCUAGAAAUACUGUCUGGAUGCACAGUCCCAAUCUACCUAGGUUUCUGUACAUCUCAUAAUAGCAAUAAUGCUAGAAAUCUUGAAGUGAAAGUUUUAUUUUAUUUUUUAUUUUUUUGUGGAGAUGGGGUCUCAAUAUUCCUGGCCUCAAUCAAUCCUCCCACCUCAGCCUCCCACAUUGUUGGGAUUACAGGUGUGGGCCACAGUACCUGGCAGAAAAGAAAGAUAUUUAAAUGGAAUUGAAGUAGGCUCUACUGGGCCCUUAAUUUAAGGGGCACAGUGGGAGGUUAGCAGGAAUUUCAAACAGUUCACCAUGGUUUGCCUACUUUUCCAUAUUGUUGCUUCCUUCUGCUCAGUGACUGAGUCACAGUUGUUUCACCGCCUCAUAACAUGUUAAAUUCCCUUUCAUCUUAGGAGUACUCUGCAGUUGCCAUUUGAGACUAUGGUCUCGCUAAUCAGAGCCAGAAUUUGUCAUCCGUCAUUUGCUAUGUGUCCUUAUCUAUUAAUACUAGACUCUGGGAAUAUAGAAGGAGACUUCAGUGUUCUCCAUGGUACUCAGAUGUGAAGAUCUAUGUGAGGACUUCUCCAUUACUGAAGGGUACAUACCAUGUAUCAUAAGAUACCAAUAACCAACAGAAAGGAGAUAAAGUCACGGGUAAGCCUGAGGACAAAACCCUGUAACUGGUUGUAAAUGUAACAUAAGCAGGUUUCUCUUCUUCUCUCUUUAGAUCAGAGGUUAGCAAACUUUUUCUACAAGAGGGCCUGAUAUUAAGUAUUUCAGCUUUGCGGGUCACACCACCUAUGUCACAAGUCUUUGAUUCUACCAUUGCAGCAGAAAACUACUUAGGCAAUACAGAAAUGAAUGGACGUGGCUGGAUUUGGCCCAUGAGCCAUAGUUUGGCAACCCCUGCUCUAGAUGAUAAUCAUAAAUAACAUUUUGAGUGCUAUAUACCAGGUACACUAUCUUACUUAAUCUUCUCAGCAAUUCUAUGAAGUGACUGCUCUUAUUUUCAUUCCCAGGUUACAUAUGUAAAGUUUAAGUCUUAUAUAGAUUAAACAAAGCUGCUUCUUAUCAAAUAGCUAGAAAUCUACAUAACCAGGAUUUUGAUCCCUGGUUGGCUGUAAUAAAAAUCAAGGGCUAUCCUUGAUUCUUUAAAGGGAAGAGAGUUGCGGUGGUAAUGCACAGAAAGGAGCUAACUGAGGGGGAGUUGGAAAAGAAGUUGGGAGAUGGAAAGAGUAUUGAACUGCUAAUCUUUGGUUGAUGUUCAUUCCUCCGAGCUGGACUUGCGAUGUUCCAUCACCUCCUUUGAGACAGGAGAUGCCAUGAAGUCAGUCUUGCCUACUCCCAAAUUCUGUAUGCAGGAGACUGGAUCUUGCUCUGUUGUCCAGGCUGUAAUGCUGUGGCAUGAUCAGAGUUCACUGCAGUCUGGAACCCCAAAGAUCAAGUGAUCCUUCUGCCUCAGCCUCCUGAG